GCCAGGCACAGUGGUGCAUGCCUGUAAUCCCAGUGGCUUGGGAGGCUGAGGCAGGAGGAUCGUGAGUUUAAAGCCAGCCUCAGCAACCACAAGGCUCUAAGCAAUUCAGUGAGACCCUGUCUCUA
RNAcentral lists this small RNA (125 nucleotides) under Marmota monax (woodchuck). The record is from RNAcentral. Lineage: Eukaryota; Metazoa; Chordata; Mammalia; Rodentia; Sciuridae.